AGAGCUGUCGUGCAAUUUUCUGGUCCAGCAGUAGGGCAUGUCUUCUUUUUGGCACACAGGUGAUCAUGGGAAGUGCCUCCGUGCUGACUCUGAGCAUCCCAGUCAGUGUCGCUGUCAGCAAGAGGUUCUCCUUCUGCACAGACAUCUGCCUGCUGGAGACAGACACUGUGGAUAAUGUGUUCCAUGUGGGUGAGAAGCUGAAGGAAAACAGGAAUACUUUUGUAGGGAUCCCCACCAAGAUUAACUGUUGGAGCUCCCUUUCUUCAGAACAGAAGGAUGUUCGAUCUGAGGACCUUAGAUUACCUCUCUCUCAGAUGACUGAUGGGCUAAAGAGUGUGGCACCUCUUUGUGGAAAUGAGCCCCCAUUUUUUGUUCCACAACUUACUCUGUGACUUGCAGAGCCAUCCAGUUUGUGCCUGAAUGCAGACAGAUAAUUUUGUAAAUUAUGGCUGAAUAUAUACCUACCUAUGUACAGUAAAUUGUCCUGUAACAUACAGGGGUGUGUGUCUGUGCAUGCGUGCGUGUCUGUGUGUGUGUGUGAGAGAGAGAAAGAGGUGUGUGUGUGUGUGUGUGUAUGUGUGAGAGAGAGAGAGAUGCAUCCAUACAAAUUACAAAAUUUAAAGUGUUUAAGGACACAUUGCUGAUGGCGACUGAAUUGCACUUGUGCGUGCACAGAGAGAAUUUCUCUCUGUGUGUGUGUGCAUGUGCACACACACACACAAGUGCAAUUCAGUUGCCAUCAGCAGUGUGUCCUUAAACACUUUAAAAUUUGUAAUUUGUGUGGAUGCAUCUGUAUCCACCACUAUAACCAGAGGCACAGACAGGCCUGGAAGGCCAGGAUUGACUUUUAUCAGUAUAGUUUGAUAUCCCAUCUGCAAACUUAUCUGGACAGAGAUAGUCUUGACACAAUUACUCUCAGCCUGAUAACAUCCCACUUGUAUGUGCAGGGCUACCUUUGAAAAUGGUCUGGAAAUCCGUAGCCCCAAGAUUGCUAACUAAGAUUGGUCAAUGUGACCCUAUUAUACCACCGGUUGUCAAUUUCUUUCUGGCAUACAGUAAUUCCAAGUACUGCUAUUGAU
This 1079-nucleotide long non-coding RNA is filed under the name Pogona vitticeps (central bearded dragon). Its description in RNAcentral is "lncRNA (ENSPVIG00000020434.1)". The record is from RNAcentral. Lineage: Eukaryota; Metazoa; Chordata; Lepidosauria; Squamata; Agamidae.